AUUGAACGCUGGCGGCAUGCUUUACACAUGCAAGUCGAACGGUAACAGGCCUUCGGGUGCUGACGAGUGGCGAACGGGUGAGUAAUGCAUCGGAACGUGCCCAGAGGUGGGGGAUAACGCAGCGAAAGCUGUGCUAAUACCGCAUGUGAUCUGAGGAUGAAAGCGGGGGACCAGGCAGCAAUGUUUGGCCUCGCGCCUUUGGAGCGGCCGAUGUCAGAUUAGGUAGUUGGUGGGGUAAAGGCCUACCAAGCCGACGAUCUGUAGCUGGUCUGAGAGGACGACCAGCCACACUGGGACUGAGACACGGCCCAGACUCCUACGGGAGGCAGCAGUGGGGAAUUUUGGACAAUGGGCGCAAGCCUGAGCCAGCAAUGCCGCGUGCGGGAAGAAGGCCUUCGGGUUGUAAACCGCUUUUGUACGGAACGAAAAGGCUCUGGCUAAUACCUGGGGCUGAUGACGGUACCGUAAGAAUAAGCAACGGCUAACUAAGUG
RNAcentral lists this ribosomal RNA (492 nucleotides) under uncultured bacterium. RNAcentral's name for it is "partial 16S ribosomal RNA". It matches the Rfam family "Bacterial small subunit ribosomal RNA", at positions 29 to 507 of the family's 1533-position model. The record is from RNAcentral.